This 898-nucleotide ribosomal RNA is filed under the name Staphylococcus aureus. RNAcentral's name for it is "bacterial SSU rRNA". It matches the Rfam family "Bacterial small subunit ribosomal RNA", at positions 61 to 942 of the family's 1533-position model. Lineage: Bacteria; Bacillati; Bacillota; Bacilli; Caryophanales; Staphylococcaceae. The record is from RNAcentral.
GUCCGAGCGAACGGACGAGAAGCUUGCUUCUCUGAUGUUAGCGGCGGACGGGUGAGUAACACGUGGAUGACCUACCUAUAAGACUGGGAUAACUUCGGGAAACCGGAGCUAAUACCGGAUAAUAUUUUGAACCGCAUGGUUCAAAAGUGAAAGACGGUCUUGCUGUCACUUAUAGAUGGAUCCGCGCUGCAUUAGCUAGUUGGUAAGGUAACGGCUUACCAAGGCAACGAUGCAUAGCCGACCUGAGAGGGUGAUCGGCCACACUGGAACUGAGACACGGUCCAGACUCCUACGGGAGGCAGCAGUAGGGAAUCUUCCGCAAUGGGCGAAAGCCUGACGGAGCAACGCCGCGUGAGUGAUGAAGGUCUUCGGAUCGUAAAACUCUGUUAUUAGGGAAGAACAUAUGUGUAAGUAACUGUGCACAUCUUGACGGUACCUAAUCAGAAAGCCACGGCUAACUACGUGCCAGCAGCCGCGGUAAUACGUAGGUGGCAAGCGUUAUCCGGAAUUAUUGGGCGUAAAGCGCGCGUAGGCGGUUUUUUAAGUCUGAUGUGAAAGCCCACGGCUCAACCGUGGAGGGUCAUUGGAAACUGGAAAACUUGAGUGCAGAAGAGGAAAGUGGAAUUCCAUGUGUAGCGGUGAAAUGCGCAGAGAUAUGGAGGAACACCAGUGGCGAAGGCGACUUUCUGGUCUGUAACUGACGCUGAUGUGCGAUAGCGUGCGGAUCAAACAGGAUUACAUACCCUGGUAGUCCACGUCCUAAACGAUGGAUCGUUAGUGGUAGGGAGGUUUCCUUCCCCUUAUUGCUGCAGGUAUUGCAGAUUCCACUGAGCCUGGAGGUGGACCGAGGGCUUAAACUCAGAAGUAAUAGACGGCUACGCAGAGCUACGCAGAUGUU